Molecule: long non-coding RNA, 571 nt
Organism: Brassica napus (rape)
Lineage: Eukaryota; Viridiplantae; Streptophyta; Magnoliopsida; Brassicales; Brassicaceae
Exons: 3
Source: RefSeq, a predicted model, not a curated record
GUUUAGGUUUGGGCUUUAUUUUUUAUUUAACUAAACCUAGAAACCUAACACGCUACGAGGCGUAAGUCACGAGGCUCUUUUCCUCUACCACUUCGUCUUCUCCACCACUCUAAAUUCAAACACAUUAGGAGCUAAACUUAUGAUUCCCUACAUUGUAUCUAGAGGCUAUGGUCAAAAUAUUUAGUGCCUGUUCAGAGAAAAUGAUACUGAAGUAUGAGAAUAAGAGAGAAACAAGUCUCAAGCGGAGGGACACAAUCAAGUUGGAUCUUGAAGUGGAAUACAUAGGUUCUUAUGUUAAGCUAUAGAUGCGAAGUGGAGUACAUUAACAUGCUUCACUUAAUCAAUUGAGUAGCAUCAAAGUUGCUUUUUCUUGCAUAGCGCACACUCAAUAUUGAGCUCAAGAUUAAAGAAGUCAUGGAGUCCAGUUCGAAAAUAGGGAAACGAGGAUAUUAGUUUAUAUUGUAACGAGGAUAUAUAUCCAUGCUUUGUAGUCAGAUUAUGAGACAGGAAUAAUAUGCAUUUCCCCUGCAACUCCACUAAUUAUGUGGAUUAUAGAUCACCUUUUGCAUAA